Budorcas taxicolor (takin) is the source of this 102-nucleotide small nuclear RNA. The record is from RefSeq and is a predicted model, not a curated record. Lineage: Eukaryota; Metazoa; Chordata; Mammalia; Artiodactyla; Bovidae.
GUGCCAACUUUAGCGGCAUAUAUACUAACACUGGAAUGAUACAGAGAUUAGCAUGGACUCGGCUCAAGGAUGAUGCAAAGUCAUGAAGUGCUCCACAUAUUU